CGCUGGCGGUAUGCUUAACACAUGCAAGUCGAACGGUAGCAGGCCUUCGGGCGCUGACGAGUGGCGGACGGGUGAGUAACGCGUAGGAAUCUGCCUCAUAGUGGGGGACAACGUGGGGAAACUCACGCUAAUACCGCAUACGCCCUACGGGGGAAAGCGGGGGAUCUUCGGACCUCGCGCUAUGAGAUGAGCCUGCGUUAGAUUAGCUAGUUGGUAGGGUAAAGGCCUACCAAGGCGACGAUCUAUAGCUGGUCUGAGAGGACGAUCAGCCACACUGGGACUGAGACACGGCCCAGACUCCUACGGGAGGCAGCAGUGGGGAAUAUUGGACAAUGGGCGCAAGCCUGAUCCAGCAAUACCGCGUGUGUGAAGAAGGCCUUAGGGUUGUAAAGCACUUUCAAUUGGGAGGAAAACCUGUCGGUCAAUACCCGGCAGCUUGACAUUACCUUUAGAAG
RNAcentral lists this ribosomal RNA (455 nucleotides) under uncultured bacterium. RNAcentral describes it as "bacterial SSU rRNA". It matches the Rfam family "Bacterial small subunit ribosomal RNA", at positions 34 to 487 of the family's 1533-position model. The record is from RNAcentral.